RNAcentral lists this ribosomal RNA (448 nucleotides) under uncultured bacterium. Its description in RNAcentral is "SSU rRNA". It matches the Rfam family "Bacterial small subunit ribosomal RNA", at positions 26 to 518 of the family's 1533-position model. The record is from RNAcentral.
AGAGCGAACGCUGGCGGCAGGCCUAACACAUGCAAGUCGAGCGCGUGUAGCAAUACACGAGCGGCAGACGGGAGAGUAACACGUGGGAACGCGCCCUUCGGUUCGGAAUAACUCAGGGAAACUUGAGCUAAUACCGGAUACGCCCUUACGGGGAAAGAUUUAUUGCCGAAGGAACGGCCCGCGUCCGAUUAGCUAGUUGGUGAGGUAACGGCUCACCAAGGCGACGAUCGGUAGCUGGUCUGAGAGGAUGACCAGCCUCACUGGGACUGAGACACGGCCCAGACUCCUACGGGAGGCAGCAGUGGGGAAUAUUGGACAAUGGGCGCAAGCCUGAUCCAGUCAUGCCGCGUGGAUGAUGAAGGCCUUAGGGUUGUAAAGUCCUUUUAACGGGGAAGAUAAUGACGGUACCCGUAGAAUAAGCCCCGGCUAACUUCGCGCCAGCAGCCGC